UACGGAGGAUCCAGGCGUUAUCCGGAUUUAUUGGGUUUAAAGGGUGCGUAGGCGGCUUUUUAAGUCAGGGGUGAAAGACGGUAGCUCAACUAUCGCAGUGCCCUUGAUACUGAAGAGCUUGAAUACACUAGAGGUAGGCGGAAUGUGACAAGUAGCGGUGAAAUGCAUAGAUAUGUCACAGAACACCAAUUGCGAAGGCAGCUUACUAUGGUGUCAUUGACGCUGAGGCACGAAAGCGUGGGGAUCAAACAGG
Molecule: ribosomal RNA, 253 nt
Filed under: uncultured bacterium
Lineage: Bacteria
Description: partial 16S ribosomal RNA
Rfam family: Bacterial small subunit ribosomal RNA
Source: RNAcentral